CGUCCAGUUAGUCUGUAGGCUGGGGAAGGGGACCCCACCCACCCAGGGGGUCCUGAGUGCGAGUUCUGAAGGGGAUGGGGAGGGAAUGGAUUACGUACUCUGAAACCACGGCAUUGGUUCAAAUUCCAUAGUGACCGUUGACGAAAAAUGGGGUCUGCAGGCCUGGUCCGGCGGUGUGACCACUGGUGUCACUCUAUCUUCGGCUUUAUUUUAAUCAACAUGCCAGGAACAUUGGUAAAAAGGUCAGUUGUAAAAUGAAAUGUCACAAGUUAGGGAUCAAUGGUUACAUAGACAUUGCUCAAGUUUCCGUUUCUCCUGAGAAACUGACCUGGGGUCAACUGAAAAGAAUUUAGGCCUCAGUCAGCAAGAGAGGGUCUGUUUUCUUUUAAAAGAUUGGCCCUAAGUUAACAUCUGUUGCCAAUCUUCCUCCUUUUAUUUUUCCUUCUCCCCAAAGCCCCCCUGAGCUGACACUGGGCUACUGGGGUAACCCAGCACAGUCUCCCCGACUCAAGAGCCGCGUCUGCCAAGUGCCCUUGCCAUGGAGGGUGACGUGCUCACAAGUUGUGAGCAUUGAUGCCGAUCUUUUUGGGGACCAUUAUUCUGCCUACAGCAGAAUCAAAGAACAUUAGAUCCGAGAGGAAGCUUCAGAAGCAGGAGGUCCAGUCUUCUCCCUGUGGAAGGCUGAGUGUGGAUGCCGUGUUGUCGGCAGUGAGGGUUAAACGUGAAAGGACACUGAGGGUGGCGGUGUGGGAUCCUGCACCGGAUCCGGAGACAGAAAAAGGACACCAGAGGAAAAGCUAGUGACGUCUGAACGGAGUCUGCGAUUUAGGCAACAGUAUAUACUGGUGAUGACUGUUUGGUUUUGUUGGACGUCCCGUGGUUAUCUAAGAUCUUAACAUCGGGGAAGCUG
This 910-nucleotide long non-coding RNA is filed under the name Equus caballus (horse). RNAcentral's name for it is "lncRNA (ENSECAG00000057162.1)". The record is from RNAcentral. Lineage: Eukaryota; Metazoa; Chordata; Mammalia; Perissodactyla; Equidae.